RNAcentral lists this long non-coding RNA (1040 nucleotides) under Oryctolagus cuniculus (rabbit). RNAcentral describes it as "lncRNA (ENSOCUG00000030824.1)". Lineage: Eukaryota; Metazoa; Chordata; Mammalia; Lagomorpha; Leporidae. The record is from RNAcentral.
GGUUGCCCACUUCCAGGCCAGCUCUCUGCUGUGGCCUGGGGGUGCAGUGGAGGAUGGCCCGAGUGCUUGGGCCCUGCACCCCAUGGGAGACCAGGAGAAGCACCUGGCUCCUGCCAUCGGAUCAGCGCCGGGGCGGCCGGCCCAGCGCGCCGGCCGCGGUGGCCGUUGGAGGGUGAACCAACGGCAAAGGAAGACCUUUCUCUCUGUCUCUCUCUCACUGUCCACUCUGCCUGUAAAAAAAAAAAAAAAAAAAAAAAAAAAAAUGUAAUUUUUAGGGUGAAGAAUGGGCCUAAAUGGGAACUUUUUAGUUAUUGUUUAAUUUAUUUAUUUGAGAGCCAAAGUUACAGAGAAAGUAGGAGGAAGAGAGAGAGAAAGGUUUUCCAUCCUCUGAUUCACUCCCCAAAUGGCCACAACGGCCAGAGAUGGGCUGAUCCAAAGCCAGGAGCCUGCAGUUUCUUCCAGGUGUCCCCACGUGGGUGCAGAUGCACAAGUACUUUGGCCAUUUUGCUUCUUUCCAGGCCAUCAGCAGAGAGCUGGAUUGGAAGAGGAGCAGCCAGGACAUUAACUGGUGCCCUAAUGGGAUGCUGGCAUCACAGGCAGAUGCUUAAUCUACUAUACCACAGUGCAGACCCCAAAUUUCAAUUUUUUAGAAAGUUGUCAUGCCAAGCCACCUUGCACUUAAAAGGACUGAGAUAUUUCAGCACUAUGACAGGUCUCUGGGAUUUUAACUCUGUUCUUGGUAGACAAGAUUAUGAAGCUCUUCAGCUACAAAAACAAAGCAUUUCUUUAAGAAAAUGCUUCUCUCAAACCGCAGAGUCUUUUGCUAAGAAGAAUAAGGAACUAGAUGUGAGGUUUUCAAACAUAUUGGAUUGUUUCCUACUUUCCACAAUAUUUGUAUUCAUCAGUGUUGGCAUACUACUACCAAUAAGGAAGAGCACUAACCAUGUAGUAAAAGGAGCAUUGGCUGAGUGGCGCAAUAGAGUAACAAUUUCAAGCUAAGUACUAAUAAAGCCUACCAGUAUAUAAAAGCUCUUGAGAAU